This 262-nucleotide ribosomal RNA is filed under the name Klebsiella michiganensis. RNAcentral describes it as "partial 16S ribosomal RNA". It matches the Rfam family "Bacterial small subunit ribosomal RNA", at positions 1 to 261 of the family's 1533-position model. Lineage: Bacteria; Pseudomonadati; Pseudomonadota; Gammaproteobacteria; Enterobacterales; Enterobacteriaceae. The record is from RNAcentral.
AAAUUGAAGAGUUUGAUCAUGGCUCAGAUUGAACGCUGGCGGCAGGCCUAACACAUGCAAGUCGAACGGUAGCACAGAGAGCUUGCUCUCGGGUGACGAGUGGCGGACGGGUGAGUAAUGUCUGGGAAACUGCCUGAUGGAGGGGGAUAACUACUGGAAACGGUAGCUAAUACCGCAUAAUGUCGCAAGACCAAAGAGGGGGACCUUCGGGCCUCUUGCCAUCAGAUGUGCCCAGAUGGGAUUAGCUAGUAGGUGGGGUAAC